Molecule: long non-coding RNA, 1343 nt
Organism: Daktulosphaira vitifoliae (grape phylloxera)
Lineage: Eukaryota; Metazoa; Arthropoda; Insecta; Hemiptera; Phylloxeridae
Exons: 2
Source: RefSeq, a predicted model, not a curated record
ACUAUAGAGGUUAAUAAUUGACCUAGUUAUUCGAUUACUUGAUUAUCUGACUCAAGGAUAAACAAGGGAAAUUAGGUUUUAAAAUAUUGAACUAAAUAGUUAUUAGGAGUAGAAUGAUCGAGAUGUAGAUCGUAAUUCAAAGUAGAGAGGUCCUGUGAAAGCGAAGAAGUCUUCGAUAGAAUUAUUGAUUAAGAUGACCCGUCGAAUGAACCUCGAAGAAUAACUUCAUUUGAAUGAAUAAUUAAAAGAUUUUAAUUUAAGUAGUUUAAGCAAUUUUUAGGAUAUAAGAUUAUAUAUAAGUAAUUAGUAUAUAAGAGUAACACGAUAGUUCAUACUAAUCCUUGUAUCCGACAGGGGGUAAUUUUAAAAUUGGAGAGUGUCUAGAUUUUUUAAAUGUAACCUAGGGAAUUAAUCAGAUUUAUUGAAUAUUCUCUACAGUCGUCACUGGGGUAAAGAAUUAUUGUCAAUAGCAAUAACAAAAAAAAAAUUUUCUAGAGUCAUAAUUAUUAUUAAGUGGUAGGUAAGCGUAUUUAAUAUAAAUAGUGUACUUUAAUAUAGCAUUUUACCCUUAAACCAUCUUGGAUUAAACAAAUUCGAACAUAUUAGAACAAAAAUAAAUUAUAAUCAAAUUUUUAAGAAUUUUUAAGAGUUGAAACAGCACAAUAUAAUAAUAUUCGUUGGGUCUUAAGAAGCGAAGAGCACCGUUGUCGCAAUAAGAUCAAUUUUUCGGGUGCGUUAUUACGCUGACCUUGCCUAUAAUUUAUGUCAGCAAAAAUAAAAAAAAAGUAACAAUAUCGACAAUGAUUAUUAUACACCUUAUAAUUCUUAUAUUUUCGGAAAAUUCUUAAAUUGUAAUUAUAUUGUCAUCUCAUUGCUAUACAUAUUUUACUAUUUUAGUGCUAGCCCCGGGCCGAGAUUUGAAUGGAUUUUAUAUUCUAGAAACGAAAGGUUUUAACUGGUCUACGUGAACAGGCGACUCGACCAAAAUAUUGUUUUUUGGCAGAUUUAUCAAAAAACUAUAUGGACCUAUUUUCUUUAAAAUAACAUAAGGGCCUUCAUACCUAUCUGAAAAUUUAUUACCCUUUACCGGAACUUUAACUAAGACUUUGUCUCCCGUUUUAAACGAUUGAAAAUUAUUCGAUGAUAAUAGUUUUUGUUUAGUUUGUUCGGAUUGUUUCUCUAAUAAUUGGGGUAAUGAUUUUCUAAUAUGUUUGAUUUUAUUAAUUUCAUCGAUAACGUUCCCAUCGGAAGGGGGAAUUAGUGCAAUAUCAAACAUGCUUUUAGGAUUAUAGCCGUGAACUAAAUAAAAUGGCGUAUAAUUUGUAACCGAAUGUAUUGAAGUA